Molecule: ribosomal RNA, 379 nt
Filed under: uncultured bacterium
Lineage: Bacteria
Description: bacterial SSU rRNA
Rfam family: Bacterial small subunit ribosomal RNA
Source: RNAcentral
UGGGGAAUCUUGCACAAUGGGGGCAACCCUGAUGCAGCGACGCCGCGUGAGCGAUGAAGCCCUUCGGGGCGUAAAGCUCUUUCGACCGGAACGAUAAUGACGGUACCGGGAGAAGAAGCUGCGGCUAACUACGUGCCAGCAGCCGCGGUAAUACGUAGGCAGCAAGCGUUGUUCGGAGUUACUGGGCGUAAAGAGUGCGUAGGCGGUUUUCUAAGUUCGGUGUGAAAUCUCCCGGCUUAACUGGGAGGGUGCGCCGAAGACUGGGAAGCUGGAGUGUGGGAAAGGCAGGCGGAAUUCCUGGUGUAGCGGAGAAAUGCGUAGAUAUCAGGAGGAACGCCGGCGAUGUAGACGGCUUGCUAGACCAUAACUGACGCUGAGG